UGCAAGUCGAACGAGAAGUACGUAGCAAUACGUAUUGUAAAGUGGCGCACGGGUGAGUAACACGUGGGUAAUCUGCCCUUGAGUUUGGGAUAACCCCGCGAAAGCGGGGCUAAUACCGAAUAAGACCACGGGGACCAAAGUCCCUGAGGUAAAAGAUGGCCUCUAUUUAUAAGCUAUCACUUGAGGAUGAGCCCGCGGCCCAUUAGCUAGUUGGCAGGGUAACGGCCUACCAAGGCAAUGAUGGGUAGCUGGUCUGAGAGGACGAUCAGCCACACUGGAACUGAGACACGGUCCAGACUCCUACGGGAGGCAGCAGUGGGGAAUAUUGCGCAAUGGGCGAAAGCCUGACGCAGCAACGCCGCGUGGGGGAUGAAGGUUCUCGGAUUGUAAACCCCUUUCGAUCGGAACGAAUCCCCUCCUGGUAAAUAAUCAGGAGGAUCGACGGUACCGAGAGAAGAAGCCACGGCUAACUCUGCGCCAGCAGCCGCGGUAAGACAGAGGUGGCGAGCGUUGUUCGGAUUUAUUGGGCGUAAAGCGAACGCAGGUGGUUUGGUAAGUCGGGGGUGAAAGACCACAGCUUAACUGUGGCAUUGCCUUUGAUACUGCCUUUCUUGAGUAGAGUAGGGGGAAGCGGAAUUCCGAGUGUAGAGGUGAAAUUCGUAGAUAUUCGGAGGAACACCGGUGGCGAA
RNAcentral lists this ribosomal RNA (689 nucleotides) under uncultured bacterium. RNAcentral's name for it is "bacterial SSU rRNA". It matches the Rfam family "Bacterial small subunit ribosomal RNA", at positions 56 to 719 of the family's 1533-position model. The record is from RNAcentral.